This 73-nucleotide transfer RNA is filed under the name Cricetulus griseus (Chinese hamster). It matches the Rfam family "tRNA". From Rfam's summary of the family: Transfer RNA (tRNA) molecules are approximately 80 nucleotides in length. Lineage: Eukaryota; Metazoa; Chordata; Mammalia; Rodentia; Cricetidae. The record is from Rfam by way of RNAcentral.
GCUCAGCUAGCUCAGUCAGUAGAGCAUGAGACUCUUAAUCUCAGGGUCAUGGGUGCAGGCCUCAUGUUGGGCA